This 433-nucleotide ribosomal RNA is filed under the name uncultured bacterium. RNAcentral's name for it is "partial 16S ribosomal RNA". It matches the Rfam family "Bacterial small subunit ribosomal RNA", at positions 29 to 507 of the family's 1533-position model. The record is from RNAcentral.
AGCGAACGCUGGCGGCAGGCUUAACACAUGCAAGUCGAGCGGGCCUUUCGGGGUCAGCGGCGGACGGGUGAGUAACGCGUGGGAACGUGCCCUCUGGUUCGGAAUAACUCAGGGAAACUUGAGCUAAUACCGGAUACGCCCUUUUGGGGAAAGGCUUGCUGCCGGAGGAUCGGCCCGCGUCUGAUUAGCUAGUUGGUGAGGUAACGGCUCACCAAGGCGACGACCAGUAGCUGGUCUGAGAGGAUGAUCAGCCACACUGGGACUGAGACACGGCCCAGACUCCUACGGGAGGCAGCAGUGGGGAAUAUUGGACAAUGGGCGCAAGCCUGAUCCAGCCAUGCCGCGUGAGUGAUGAAGGCCUUAGGGUUGUAAAGCUCUUUUAUCCGGGACGAUAAUGACGGUACCGGAGGAAUAAGCCCCGGCUAACUUCGUG